RNAcentral lists this ribosomal RNA (700 nucleotides) under uncultured bacterium. Its description in RNAcentral is "bacterial SSU rRNA". It matches the Rfam family "Bacterial small subunit ribosomal RNA", at positions 805 to 1504 of the family's 1533-position model. The record is from RNAcentral.
AACGAUGGAUACUAGGUGUAGGGGGUGUCGACUCCCCCUGUGCCGUCGCUAACGCAAUAAGUAUCCCACCUGGGGAGUACGACCGCAAGGUUGAAACUCAAAGGAAUUGACGGGGGCCCGCACAAGCAGUGGAGUAUGUGGUUUAAUUCGAAGCAACGCGAAGAACCUUACCAGGGCUUGACAUACUGCUGAUCGGUCAGGAGACUGACCUUUCCUUCGGGACAGCGGAUACAGGUGGUGCAUGGUUGUCGUCAGCUCGUGUCGUGAGAUGUUGGGUUAAGUCCCGCAACGAGCGCAACCCCUAUUGUUAGUUGCCAGUAUUAAGUUGGGCACUCUAGCGAGACUGCCGGUGAUAAAUCGGAGGAAGGUGGGGAUGACGUCAAAUCAUCAUGCCCCUUAUGUCCUGGGCUACACACGUACUACAAUGGCUGAUACAGCGCGAAGCAAUACCGCGAGGUGGAGCAAAUCGCCAAAAUCAGUCCCAGUUCAGAUUGCAGGCUGCAACUCGCCUGCAUGAAGUCGGAAUUGCUAGUAAUGGCAGGUCAGCAUACUGCCGUGAAUACGUUCCCGGGCCUUGUACACACCGCCCGUCACACCACGAGAGUUUGUAACACCCGAAGUCGGUGAGGUAACCUUUACAGGAGCCAGCCGCCGAAGGUGGGACAGAUGAUUGGGGUGAAGUCGUAACAAGGUAACCGUA